RNAcentral lists this ribosomal RNA (292 nucleotides) under uncultured bacterium. Its description in RNAcentral is "partial 16S ribosomal RNA". It matches the Rfam family "Bacterial small subunit ribosomal RNA", at positions 505 to 796 of the family's 1533-position model. The record is from RNAcentral.
GUGCCAGCCGCCGCGGUAAUACAGAGGUCUCAAGCGUUGUUCGGAAUUACUGGGCGUAAAGGGUGCGCAGGCCGCGCGGGCAGUCAAAUGUGUAAUUCAGAGGCUCAACCUCUGGACUGCGCUUGAUACUUCCGCGCUCGAACCUUGGAGAGGAGUCUGGAAUUCUCGGUGUAGCAGUGAAAUGCGUGGAUAUCGAGAAGAACACUUAGGGCGAAGGCAAGACUCUGGACAAGUGUUGACGCUCAUGCACGAAGGCUAGGGUAGCGAACGGGAUUAGAUACCCCCGUAGUCC